Homalodisca vitripennis (glassy-winged sharpshooter) is the source of this 1674-nucleotide long non-coding RNA. RefSeq lists it as uncharacterized. The record is from RefSeq and is a predicted model, not a curated record. The transcript has 2 exons. NCBI's taxonomy places the organism in Eukaryota, Metazoa, Arthropoda, Insecta, Hemiptera, Cicadellidae.
UCACUAGUGUGAAUUUUUCCAGAAAACGCUCAGUGGAGAAUGUUACUUUUGCUUAAAAACGUGAUAUUGAACAUUAAAUUUCAAUAGGAUAUUGUGAGUUUAGACAGUUACAACCUUAAGAAACUGGCUCAUCAGUGAGAGGAAUAAUAAUAUGCUAAUAACUCACUUUUCAGCAAAAGUGGAGAAUAUGCCUUUUGCAGUUUAGGCCCUUCCUUUCCAGUGUUGUUUACAAGAUCUCUGUAAUGGUCUUGUUGAUUACAUAAAACAACUAAUUUUUAUUUAAACAAUGUCUAUUUUAAAUCACUGGUCUAUACUGAUCAUCGAAAGACCUUGACCCAAAUAUAAAACAAUAAUACUGGUCAAUUUGAUGGAAAAAGUUGAACUAAACCUCUGAGUCCCACUAGCGCACUGCAUUGACAACAAUGGACACCAUCUGCUUGGCGUUAUAUUUAAAACUAAGUAAAAGUAAAUAUUAACUUGUGUAUUUUAUUAUAUAAAAAGAAUGAAAUGUAUUUCUUCAUUACUUUCUUUUUAAUUUAAUUUCUAAAUAACCUCUGCCCCACCCUGUAUAAUUGUUGUAUAUAGUAAUAAGUUGUAUUUGACAUAUUAAAAUUACUUCAACUAAUUAGGUCUGAGUGACAACGCUUAUGUGAAGCAGUUGUCAUAUUAUCAAGAGUAUAACAUUGAUUACCUCAUAAGUUUAAAAGUAAAUUGUUGUGAGAUUUUUCUAAAUUGCCUACCAUAUUGCAAUUUUUGGAAAAAUAAGACUAAUAUAAGACCAUUACUACUACUUUAAUUAUUAAUGUUUUGUUAUCGAAGAUUUAAUUAAUCUUCAGCUUUUAGAAAUUGUAAUUCAACCACCCCUAAGUGACAGCGCUGUUUUGAAACUGUUUUUCGUUAUCUGAAUUAUUUUAUUACCUUAUAAUUUUGUCCCAGUAUUGGCAUUUUGGCACAAAAUUAAUAUACAGCUACUACUUCCUGAAUUAUGUUGUAUUGUUGAAGAAUAAAUACUAUUUCAACUCAUAGAAAUAAUAAUUCAACUACUUCUAAGUGAUAACACUGUUGUAAAAUUGUUGUCUAUUAUGUGAAAUCAACUACUUCUAAGUGAUAAUACUGCUGUGUAAUUGUUGUCUAUUAUAUGAAAUAAUUUAAUUACCAUACAAACUUUAGAAGUAAUGUUUUGUAAAAUUUGAACUAAUUUGGCCACUGUGCAGGCAUUUUUUGCAAAAUCAUUUUAUGUAGAAAUACUAUCUGUUAUACUAGAUCAUUGUAUGAUAGAUGAUCACAUAAUAUUUUAGCUCAAAUGAACUUUUCAAAAACUACAUUUAAGUAACGAAGCUCUUGUGAAGCAGUUGUCUUGUAAUGUGAGAUAAUUUUGAUUACCUCAUGUGUGGUUUCUAUAUCUAACACAUUGUAAAAUUUGUACUAAACUGCCUACUGUGUUGGCACCUUUAGCAAAAACAUGUAACGUGGAAUUACCAUUACUGGUACCUCUAUUAGUAGAACAUUCAUUCUAUAAUUGAACAACACGUAAUUAAACCUGAAUAAACCUUUCAUGAACUAUGUUUGAGUGACAAAGCUCUUGUGAGGCAGUUGUCAUGUAAUGUUGUGAGGCUAAUUUGAUUACAUCAUGAGUGAGUUCUAGAUCUAAUAAAGUGUUAUAUCUCUGCUAAA